RNAcentral lists this long non-coding RNA (756 nucleotides) under Homo sapiens (human). RNAcentral's name for it is "non-protein coding lnc-LYPD6-17:2". The record is from RNAcentral. Lineage: Eukaryota; Metazoa; Chordata; Mammalia; Primates; Hominidae.
CUUGGUUUUGAUACGUUUUGGUGCAUCUUAUUUUAUCAACAGGGUAUUUUCGAUGUGUAUCUUGUGGAACCAGUCCUGCCAAUCUCAUCCAGUGACUAAAAAUGCCUAACCUCCUGGGAAUGGAGGUCAAGCAAGUUUCAGCCUCAUUUUACACAACACCUAUUCAAGAUGGAGGUGCUCUGGUUCAAAUCACUCUGACAAGCAGUCACUACCCCUGCCCCAAAGCCAAGCAUUGUAGGGAAUCUUAUCUGGUAACAAAGAGUUGAUCUGAAGUGAUGUUUGAAAAUGAGUGGGGUGGUUGUUUGUUGAAUCAGUGAGACAAUGAGUAGGGAAUGAGGGAGACUGUCAUUUAAUUGGUAAAGACCAGAGGUGCUAAUUGUUCUGCAAUUCCAUAGCAUUUCACUCAGCAUUCCACAAAAUCAAGCAUGCUCCCUCCCGAAAUAUUCACAUCGCCCCACUGAGAAACUGCCCCAGAGCACCCUGGGGAAGCUCAGCUUUGCAUUCCCACUUCUAUUAGACAGCCUUUGUGACACACACACCUUGUCCCUGUGAACAUGGUGAAUGGAAAUUAUCUUCUCCACAUUAACUUUGAAUACAUGGGCCAAGGAAAUGGCCCUAGGUGUAUACCAGUCCUGCUUCUUUCUCACUCCUUGGCUAGAGAAAGAAAGAAUUUAGCAAAUUCAUCAUUAGUCAAGAAUAAGGGGCUGCAUUUUGUUUUAAAAAUCCUCUCCUUCCAUUUUCAAUUCUAGUACAGGC